Molecule: small nucleolar RNA, 74 nt
Organism: Rhinolophus ferrumequinum (greater horseshoe bat)
Lineage: Eukaryota; Metazoa; Chordata; Mammalia; Chiroptera; Rhinolophidae
Source: Ensembl
UGUACCAGUGAUGAUGACCUGUGGCGGAGGAGUCACGGACAAUGAAAAUAUGUGGCUGAAACCCGGAGGUCUAC